RNAcentral lists this long non-coding RNA (35651 nucleotides) under Lactuca sativa (garden lettuce). RNAcentral describes it as "long non-coding RNA (LSAT_LNC004561)". Lineage: Eukaryota; Viridiplantae; Streptophyta; Magnoliopsida; Asterales; Asteraceae. The record is from RNAcentral.
AGCACACGACUUGAGGUUUAUAACCUAUCGUGUUGACAUAUUCUGUGCCCAUUCCAGUUAAAGUUGGCUUUGCAUAUGAGUUCUUAGAGUUCUCAAUUGGUUGCACAACAACUUGGAAGCAAUGGCAGGCCCUUGAGCUGCCAAGUGGCAAGAAAUUAAGAUUGAGUUCAAUCCAUAUGAGUUUGGAUUUGUCAUUAUCCUUGUCUUGUGACUAUGGUUUUGACAAUUCACAUGGAUAAGAACACAUACACCAUUAAAUCUAAGUGUCAUAAGGUUUCUCUCCGAUUCAUGAAAAUGAUGGUGAGGAAACACUUUCACUAAGUAGAUUUUAGCUAGAUAGCAAUUGUGAUAUUUGCAUUCUCAAAGUCGUUAGUGGAGCGUGUGUGGUUUACCGGCACACUAACCUGGACUUGUGAGAAGUGGCAAAAAGGUCUAACCAUUAUGAUUACGGCAUCCCUCUUCAUAAUUGUUUAGACACACAAGUGUGCUAUCUAAGGGAAGGUGUAUGAUUUUGAUAAAGUUUUAUCAAAACAAUCUAGUAUCAGAAAUCUGAACUUUGGUAAGAAAGUCAGCUGAUUUCUGAGUACAUGUCAAAGCUAGUGGGAGCAUAAGUGUUAUGCUAAUAAUCAUCAUGUUAGUGGGAGCAUGAUAAUUAUGAUAAGUAUUGCAAGUUAGCAAUGUUAAUUAUAGAAAACAAAAGUUUCAAUUGGGAAAAAGUUGUUUUGCUAUAAUUAAGGGAGAGGAAAUUAUGCUUCAUCUCAAAUCUAUAAGCUUAGAUCGUGAGGUUUUAAUCAUUUAGUCAAGGAUAUAUAUGAAUUUCAUGUUGGAAUGGCUCAACAUAAGGAAAUUCUGUAUAUGGGUCCAUUAUUUGCGUUCUAAAAUUCGAUUAUGAUUACGGCAUCCCUUUUCAUAAUCUGAAUUAUGAGAACUUGGCAAAUUGAAAUGGAAAUAUUAUAGCAAAAGACUGGUUUAGUCUUUAUGUGAGACAUCAUGAAUCGUGUCCCAUAUGCUUCGGAUAUAGGAUCGAUUACAUGUGCUAUAUUCAUCCGUUCUAAAAUUUUCCAAAUGCCUGGGGCAUUAAGAAGGGAAAAGGUUUAGAACUGGAUAUGACUAAAAGGAUUAAACAAUUGUCGAGGACAAUCUAAGGUUUACCAAAGAUUGGUUGCUCAAGGACAAUUGGAAGUAUAGUGAUAAUUCUGGAAGGACCAUAUUGACAUAAUCUGUAAGGAGGCAACUCUUGUUCAGAAGUGAUAGUCAAAAUGGAAUCUGGAAAUGUUUCAAAGUUAGAAUUUUCAAUCUGUGUAAGAUUAAGGAAACUUAAUGCAAGAAGGAUAUUUCCAAGGAGUUGAUCUCCUUUGGAAUACUCUGUAAUGAUUGUUGCCAAGUCUUUGUGACUUUGUGCAUAAUCAUUACAAGAGGAUCAAUGCAUAUAAGUUUAGAAUCUAACAGAUUUCAGUAAAUGGCAUGAAUUUGGAAUUCUUGCAUUUGCAGUAAGGAUUUGGGAGUGUGAAAAGAGAAUCAUUGAAGUUAUGUUCAAUUGAUCUAGUUCACAAAGUAAAGAUCAUAGACAAACAUAGUAUGCAUACUUGGUGUGUGGCAUGACUAGUGUUUAAGAAAACAUAGUGUACAUGCUUGGAGCAUGGGACAACUAUUGUUUUAAAUUCAAGAAUAAAGUUGAUAGCUGAAACAGUAUACAAUGAAUAAUGUGUAAUCAUAUGGUGAUAAAUAAAAGGUGUUUUAUUUAUGUUCAAAGGGUUGAUACCAUAUUGGAUUCAAUUAUUAUUGUGUUUCAUUUUGCAUGUUUUGACUUCCCGAAUAAACUGGGUUAUUCUUCCGGAAUGACUAAGUUAUUCAAACCAUCCACAGUCGGUCAUAUGUUGGAAGUAGAUAUGAAUUAAGACUGUCAUGGGUUGGCUUGUAGAGGUCUAAGGUGUUGGACAAAGGGCUACAACACUCAUGAGUGCUCAUAAGUUCUGAGUAUUGGAUUCAACCCGCGCUCAUUGGAAUCACUUCAUGGAUUUUAUCACGAGUGAUCAUGAGACGAUAAUAUCUUAUAUUCUUCAAACCUAGAGAUAUGAGUUGUUACUAUGAGUUGAUAGUACAUUGAUUGCACGAAAACGCAUUUGGUAACUCGGUGCUAUAAAACGUGCCUUUGUGUAUGAUUCAACAAGUAGUAGAACAAGCCAUAUGAGUCGAAGUUUAUCCAUUCCUUUUACCUUCGGGAUAAAAGCGAUAUCUGUGGGCCCCUCGAUGAUUUGAUGAUGACAAAUGGAAGUGCUCGGCCGGGCCAGGACUGAUUUGAUUUGUUCAAUUAGUCAGUCGUCAUAAAUCGGAAAUCGGGAAACAACAAAUGGACAGAGAGAAUGAUUAUAAUCCAUGUCUCAGUCCAUAUGAUAUCUAGAAUGGAGGAAUAUAUGAUCCCUUAUCUAAUGGACAAGUCAUUGACAAAGGUCAAAGUUCAUCUACAAGGUCAGAGUUCGACUGGAGCUUUUGAGAGCUACGAUUGCUGAUCGGUUCCUAAAGUCAUACGCAAUAAUAGUUUUAGACUUAUCCAAGUGGGAGACUGUUGGAUUAAUGUCUAAGUCAAUAACUAUAUUUGGUGAGACUUGACCCGACUCGGCAUGGCCCAUUUGGGUUGCAUGGCGUCAUGCAUUUGGAUAUACUAUAAUGAGAGAAAUAACACUUAAGGUUGAUUAAUAUAUUAUAAGAUCUAAUAUACGGAUAAGAUUAUUUAAUUAGUAUUGAUCAAGAAUUAAUCUAGGAUUAAUUAAGUGAUCAAAAGAAGACAAAUUAAAUAUAUGGGUUGAUUGUGUAAAUCAUCCAUUCUUAUAUAUGUGGGCUAUUGAUCCAAGAUUCCUUAUGUUGGACUAAGUCCAUGGGGUGACCCAUGGAUACUUCAUGGAGGUUAAAAUCCAUGGAGCAUAAGGAAUGGGUAAAGUUAUGAGUUACAUGGUGUAACCCUAAUAGCCACCAUAUAAAAGAAUCCCAUGGCUCAAGAAAUCGGCCACUAUGUGUGAGAAUGAAGGGCUAGCCGAUUUCAUGAAGUGUGUAUGUUCUCUCAAGUUAUUCCAAGUGUAUUUGGUGUUGUGUGAACCAUUUGAGAUGUCACACUUUGGGCAAUAGGCACUCAAGCUUCAAGAAGACAAUCUACAUCAAAGAGGUAUGUAAUUCUAACUUGAAAUAUUCAUUUGAAUCAAUGUUAUUAUGCUAGUUAGGAUGAAUACCUUGGAAAGUUCAUAUUUGCAGGUAUAAUAGAGAAAACAUAGAUCCAAGGUAUUUAGGGUUGCAUGUACACUUAGGAGUGUUAGAAUGCUCAAAAUCCAACAAGCCUGUCGACUCGUCGAGUUCCUAUACUCAGGAAACUCCCACAACACGACUCAACUCGUCGAGUCGCCCCAAGACUCGUCAAGUUGAACGAUCUCGGAAUUCCAUCCUGACCAACUCACUAAGUCGCCAACCGACUCGCUAAUCCAAAGCUUUAACCAAAAGAGGUUGGUUUCUUCGACCAUACUCCCCAAGUCCAAGAACAGACUCACAGAGUCCAAGGCAAUCUUCAACAGACUCGCCGAGUUGUUCUUCCAACUCGCCGUCGAGUCCAUGCACAUGUUCAUACAACUCGUUGAGUACACCCAUGUGACUCGCCGAGUCUCUUUAGUUCUCAAUCCAUACAGAGGCUUUUCGAGCUAUGCAGGGGCUCCAAUCAAUAGAUCCACUCUUCUACAGGCUAACCCUCACAUAAAGUUGCAAACUUUACGUGAAACCAAGGAGAUAUAGGCCCAAAACACUCUAGGGCUUGGGUUUUAGUCAAAGGGGCUUCACCAACAACUCAAUGACUGAAGCUUUAUGACAUUAUGGACCAUCACAAGCCUAGAUCUGAAGUAGCAACCUUAGAUCUAAGCCUCUAACUCGAAAUAGCUCUUAAUCAUACCAAAAAUGCCCCAAAUCUCACAUGAUAAUAGAACUAGAUGCAAAAGAGCCCAAGCAACAGAUUAUUACCUCCAAUAUAAGCUCCAACUAAAGUAGAUCCCGAAUCUACAUCCCUCCUUUGCAGCAAACCUCUUGAUCUUCAAGCCCCUUUCAACCAAAAUACUUAUCAAGGCUCCAAAUUGCUUCCAAGGCUCUCACUCACGAUUUAGGGUUUAUGGAUCUCAAAAGGGUAGCAAAGAGGCUGAGGGUGGGUUAUAAUGUGCUUUAUAUAGGGCACAACCCCCGGGAUUAGGGUUUUCUCUCUUCAGCACCAACUCGUCGAGUCCAAGCCGCCGACUCGGCGAGUUGGCCACUUAAACCGCGACAUAAUCCCGCUCUGACUUGGCGAGUAAGCAGACCUACUCAUCGAGUCCCUUUCCUAAAUUUACACUUUUGGCCCUUUAUUGAUCAUUAGAAAUUUGGGGUGUUACAACUCUCCCCCACUUAAAUUAGGCUUCGUCCUCGAAGCCUACUGCAGUAUACGCCUCAGAACAAACCCUUUUCACUGCAGACUCUGACUUCUCAAUCAACUCAUGCUCUUACAAACACACCUUCACGCCCUGCGAACGCUAGAUACCACAAACAACCACUGAGCUCUGCCAAGACACCAAUCCAUCUUCCUUCGCCCAAAAUUGGUGAUAACCCUGAUAAAAUACAACCUGGAACGAAUCUUUUUCCGCCCUUUGGUUCUAUCCCUUAUGCGCUGACAGGAUACUGCAUCCCUCAACUCCCAUAACCCAUCAAUCAAACACUACGCGUAACCACUCGUACCUGUCCCAAUCAGCCUUGGGCUGGAAUACCAAACACAUCAGGUCCAAUCAACCAUAGGGUCCGAUCAUCCUUAUGAUGGAAUACCCCAGAUUGGAAUACCUUCACAUACAUAACUCAAGCCUACACCCAUACUCGGAAUUAAGGACCCUGUCCUUGCGUAACCCUCGAACCCUUCGGUUCGACACAAUGGAGUACGACCCACUCAUACCUCCCUAUCACGAUCUCUAGGUCAUUGACCCCCAAAUGUAAUAUCCUUAUACAGUCGUCAGCAUCGGUCCAGACUACUCCCGAGUCUGUUAACCUGAUGUCUCACCUUCCUCUGUCCCAAUCUCCAUUCUGGAACCAGUAUCCUCCUCCUCUUCCAAGGAGACUGAAAACAUGCCUGCGCAUCAUCCAACGUUGCCACAACCUCAACGGGCAUCCAACCCGUAUGUGCUUCCAUAUAUCUGGUACAAUCCCAGUGCUUACUAAUAACAACUGAAGCACUUUCGAUCAUCCCUUUAUUCUGCUGCCUUCCUUUCAGAGGACCCACACUCCUUUUGGAGCUACAUACCUUUCCUUUCCAGGAAGUCUACUCAACAACCCUUACCGCACCUAUAAGUGCCACUGAGCUAAAACUCCACCCUACACUAUCCAUGUAGAGCAACUGCUAUUCUCGAACUCCCAUAUACUCCGACUCCGAUCACAUAGCUGACUAGGCCCAUGCAUGGCCUCCCACCAACUCAAUCGUCAUGAUCAAUACUUGGGGCCAGACCAUAUCGAUUACCAUUUCAUGGCGACAUAUUCCCUCAUUCUCCUCAUACCGAUCCACUAACACAUACAGAGUCUUCAACAUGACUGGAUCGCCCUCCUGGGCCUUCAGCCUGUUUGGACCGUUCCCCGAGCCUUCGGUCUGACUAGUACACCUCUCGGCCUUUAGUCUAUCCGGACCGCUCAAACCUGUCGUACGUCACCCUAAACCAUCCUUUUCGGGAAUCUCUCCCAUGCAGUCUGUUCUAGCCUUCUUGGGGUUUCGAACUCCUGUUCCGUUCCUGGAAUCCUUUCCAUGGCCUAAACCCAGGCCUCACAUCGACCACUACUUUCCCUGAAACCAUGGUCUGUUCCCUUCCCCACUUGUCUAUCACUUGCUCCAAUCAUGCCACACUCUCGGCUAACAACACCGAUAAAUCUAAACAGCUAACCAACCCUGGAUAAUUGCUAUUUUACCGGAGAAUUUUCCAAUUCUCCCCACCUAGUGUACCAACUACUAACUUUCGCUGAUAAACCAACAUCACUCGAUCGACCUUACUUGAAUAAGUUUCCCCCUCUUCUCCAGGAACAAAAUCCUUCCAAAGUGAGCAACCUCCACGGUCACUCUCCCGACAUCGCACAUCCCGAACUCCAAGGAAGUUCAAAUCUUAACUGAACACUUCUCGCAUCGCAGUUGCUAUUCCAAGCAACGAGAUCAUAUACCUAAUCUUUUGACCAAGAAUCCUCCUGGACGCUAACCAACUACAACUCCUAACUAUUAAGAUCCUCAAUCAUACUACGAAUCAUGCGGAAAAGGUGAACAAAUUUACAAUACCACAUAAUCAGCAAAUAACAAAAUAUCAAAAUGGAAACAUACCCGCAGUUGCAUCCGGCUCUGACUUGACCUCCUCUGCUGUAAGCUAGAAAGAGCGUCCUUGAGCCCUCGGAGGCUCCGCUCCACCCUGACCUCCACCCAUAAUCCUCAAGGUGGCCGGUGUUGGAGCCUGCACCGGUCUUGCAACAAGUUGUGGACAGUUGACCCUCAAGUGUCCAACCUGAUGACAAUGAUAAUAGAUCCUCUUAUCCUGAGCCGUGACCGACUGACGACAAUCCCUCGGAUAAUGCCCGUUUUUACCACACUUGCGACACGCACCACCGGACCUACAAACUCCGGCAUGACCCUUCCCACACUUCUCACAAGUGCGGCUGCUCUGACCUCCAACCCUGGAGUCAACGGUUUUGGACCGUUUUGGCGCCGGCUGUGACUGCAGCGGGGCCUGCCUCUACUCUCAUAACUACAACUCCAUCUCUAACUCCCACCGCCUGGCAGCCUCCUACAAAUCUAACAAGGUAUCACACCUCUGCGUAGACACAAACUGCCUGAUGUCCCUCUUGAGCAUACUUAGAUACCCGGACAUCUGAGCCUGCUCCGAAGCAAACUCCGUGAAAAACAUCGCCCUCUCAGUGAACAUUCUAGUGAUCUCCGUCAUCGACUCUGAAACCUGAUUCAGCUCCAGGAACUCCUGAGCCAACCUCUCUCUCUCUCUCUCUCUCUCUCUCUCAACCCGUGGAACGUAACGAGUGCUGAACAUCUCCCGGAACUGAUCCCAAGUAACCGCAACCCACUGCGCAUCCAAAUAAGAUCCCGUAGUCAACCUCCACCAAUCCUUCGCCCCGCGCCUUAAAAGGUUCAAAGCACACCUCACUCUCUGAUCAGCAGGGCAUGAACACGUGAAGAAACAGCCUUCCAUGUCUGACAACCAUCUCAUAACAACGAUCGGAUCCUGAACUCCAUCAAACGUAGGGGGCUUCGUAUUAUCGAAUUCCCGAUACUGAAAACCUCGACCGGUUCCUCCCCCUGCCGUUGUAGCUGCCGCGGCAGUUGCCUUCGCAAGAGCUGCAUAGCGCUCAUGAAAGCACUCCAUCAUAGCGGUCUUGAUCGACCCAAACAUCUUCGGCAACUCAGACCGGAACAUAGUAGCAACCUCAUCAUGCAAGAUCUCACGAAUCCUGACAUCCAACUCAUCCGUACUCAUCUGACCAAUAACCACGGGUGGCACUAAUCCAUCCUGAUCACCUUCUCCUGAUCCUGCCCCGAGACGUCUCAUAAUCGCCAUACUGAAAAUACGCCACAAGAUAUUUGGCAUUCCUCAUAAUAACCCCGAGAACUAGUUCCCAACAAAACUCUAGGGGUUGUGACUUCCUGGAUACGCGUAUGGGUCCUGUGCUUUCAGUAGUACGGGCCCAUACUACCUUCCACACCUACCCAUAUUUGUAUCAAGUAUCACCACAACACCCUAACAAUAACAUAUACAUAAUGAACACUUGACCCCCACUCCUAGAGGAGCAUCACUAUCCCAUAACCGACCUACCAGUCUCACACAACCCUCCCAUCCAUGAAGCUUCCACCAACCCUGAAGCACUAGUGUAUGCUAGUCAUACAUAACGCUGAACCCUAUAGACUUUCGAAUAUCCAAUCCUACCCUAAGCUCCCAAUCAUACAAGAACAGAACAUAAGGCCAAAUCAAACAUUCUCAGGCUAUAAGAUCUUAAUUAUAUAUAACCAUGAUGCAUACACUAAACAACUAUAAUAAUGAUGUCAAUUUCAUACAAGGAAACCCUAGGCUAGCAGGCAUCAUAAAAUCAGGCAAUUCUAUGAUGCAAUUCCUGAAGAUCCCUAGCCUAGUACUAGCAUGUUGUUCUAACAUAUCACAUAAUCAAUAACUUGUAUGGUAUUUUGGGGUCCACUUACUGGCUCUGGCUGAUCGUACCCUCUGCAUCCUCCUUUACUUAUUUCGAAAAAGCUUUUGAAAACCAUUUUGAAAAUCCCUCCUUGAUUUGAGACUGGAUUCACAUGAAUGUUCCUCCAAUUCACUCAAACCAAGGCUCUGUUACCAACUUGUAACACCCAUAAAAUUUGAGCCAAAUUAGAGCAUCUUAUCUCAUUCAAAAACCAUUAGGUUCAUACAUCUGGUUUUCAAAAUAGUUUAAACAUCAGAGUAUCCCCCAGAACCAUAUCACAUAAAUCAUAAAACAUGAGGAGCGGUACGAUCACGCCUUCGCCUUGCCACGAUCUCCUGAAGUACCUGAAACAAUACAUUGAACUAUAAGCCCGAAAGCUUAGUGAGUUACCCCCAAACUACCAACCACAAAUAAACAUACUCAUAACAUAUCACAAUAGAACACCCAUGCACAUUGGGUCUAUUAUGUGACUGGUCCGCCCACACCGGGCCUUCAGUCCACCUGGUCCACCCUCCGAGUCUACCUAUGUACAUCGAGUCUACAGUGUGAUUGGUCUGCCCGCACCGGGCCUUCAAUCCACCUGGUCCACUCUCUGAGUCUACAGUAUGACUGGUCCGCUCACACCGGGCCUUCAGUCGGCCUGGUCCAUUCUCCGAGCCUCGGCACGUCUGGUCCGCCCUCUUGGGGCCUCCAGCCUAUCCGGACCGCUCACUGGGCCUUCGGAAUAUCCGGUCCACCCUGGGUAUGUUGGCCUACAACACAAAGCAGGACCCGCCUCAACCCAACCCCCGUCAAUCAACCAUGUGCACAUAAAACAAUUAAUCACAUAACAAAUCCUUAACCAGGCAAAUAGUCUAACAGAUCACAUAACAUAUCAACAUCCUAACCAGGAUUCUGACCUAACCGGUCACUAGCAUAACAUCACCCUAUAUACCGGGUACCGACCUUAACCAGGUCAAUAACAUAACAUUACCCUAAAUACCGGGUACAUACCUUAACCAGGUCACUAACAUAACACCAUCCUAAAUAUCAGGAUGUAGAUCUAGCAAAGCAAUAACAUACCAAACAAUACCCGGAUUUCCAUCCGAUAAAGGGUCGGCCUUGGUGCCGUAGACCCUGUUGAUAUAGUGAGGAUAACUCACCUGUAAUUGCCGACUGAAGAGAUGAGACAAAGCUGCUCCGACCAUCGACACAAACUCCACCACAAAACACUAUCAAAGAACCAAUUCCAUAAAUACCAAAAUUACCAAAAUACCCUUGGAAAUCAAACUGGUCAACUCUUGGUCAAAGUCAAAGUCAAAGUCCUCAGUCAAAGUCAACCUUCCUGGUUGACUCCACUCGCCGAGUCAGCCCAUCGACUCGUCGAUUUCCUAUACUCAGGAAACUCCCACAACACGACUCAACUCACCGAGUCGCCCCAAGACUCGUUAAGUUGAACGAUGUCGGAAUUCCUUCCUGACCAACUCACUGAGUCGCCAACCGACUCACUAAUCCAAAGCUUUAACCAAAAGUGGUUGGUUUCUGCGACCAGACUCGCCGAGUCCAAGAAUGCUCAAAAUCCAACAAGCCCGUCGACUCGUCGAGUUCCUAUACUCAGGAAACUCCCACAACACGACUCAACUCACUGAGUCGCCCCAAGACUCAUCGAGUUGAACAAUCUCGGAAUUCCAUCCUGACCAACUCACUAAGUCGCCAACCGACUCGCUAAUCCCAAGCUUUAACCAAAAGAGGUUGGUUUCUUCGACCAUACUCCCCAAGUCCAAGAACAGACUCACAGAGUCCAAGGCAAUCUUCAACAGACUCGCCGAGUUGUUCUUCCAACUCGCCGAGUCCAUGCACAUGUUCAUAUAACUCGUCGAGUACACCCAUGUGACUCGCCGAGUCUCUUCAGUUCUCAAUCCAUACAGAGGCUUUUCGAGCCUUGCGGGGGCUCCAAUCCAUAGAUCCACUCUUCUACAGGCUAACCCUCACAUAAAGUUGCAAACUUUACGUGAAACCAAGGAGAUAUAGGCCCAAAACACACUAGGGCUUGGGUUUUAGACAAAGGGGCUUCACGAACAAUGCAAUGACUGAAACUAUAUGACAUUAUGGACCAUCACAAGCCUAGAUCGGAAUUAGCAACCUCAGAUCUAAGCCUCUAACUUGAAAUAGCUCUUAAUCAUACCAAAAAUGACCCAAAUCUCACAUGAUAAUAGAACUAGAUGCAAAAGAGCCCAAGCAAGAGAUUAUUACCUCCAAUAUAAGCUCCAACUAAAGUAGAUCCCGAAUCUACACCCCUCCUUUGCAGCAAACCUCUUGAUCUUCAAGCCUCUUUCCACCAAAAUCACUUAUCAAGGCUCCAAAUUGUUUCCGAGGCUCUCACUCACGAUUUAGGGUUUUUGGAUCUCAAAAGGGUAGCAAAGAGGCUGAGGGUGGGUUAUAAUGUGCUUUAUAUAGGGUACAACCCCCGGGAUUAGGGUUUUCUCUCUUCAUCACCAACUCAUCGAGUCCAAGCCGCCGACUCGACGAGUUGGCCACUUAAACCGCGACAGAAUCCCCAUCCGACUCGGCGAGUAAGCGGACCUACUCGUCGAGUCCCUUUCCUAAAGUUUACACUUUUGGCCCUUCAUUGAUCAUUUGAAAUUUGGGGUGUUACACUAUAUCUUCAAAAGAACUAGGUGUCAGAUUUUCUAGGGGUGAGGUUCUUUUUAUAGUGCGGUCAGGAAACCCUAGAUAAGCCCAAAUCCAACAUUAUCUUGAACUAUGUAAUUAUCUACUUUCCUAAUUAUCCACCAAGGAUAAUUCUAGAAACCCUAAGGCUCCUUGAAACCGUCCAAGCCUUAUGGAGGGUUCUAGAAUGCCUCUUGUUCAAUUAUUGAACAAUAUCACUUCAGUCCCUACAUUUUUAAUUAAUUCUUUUAAACACACAAUUAAUUCCAAUUAAUUUAGAUAUAAUAUUAAUUAAAUAUUACUGUUUCUAAUUAAUACAUUAUUUCCAUGAUAUAUUAACAAAUUAUUUAUUUCAAUUUAUUAAUCGAAUAAUAAAUCAACAUCUCUCUCCAAAAAUCAUCACGUCAAGUUGUUAGUUUGAGUGUAACCCAAAAGCAUUGUGUUACUAUCAAUUCAAGUAUAUACCAAUUAUAGUUAUAUCCUUAGACACCUAAUCUAAUAGUCACCCACUUGGAUUAGUCUAAUAACUAUAAUUGCUAGUAUAUUCUUCUAAGCCGAUCAACAAAUUGUAGCUCUCAAUAGCUAACAUCGAAGUAUGGCCUAGUCAGUUACGUGUCCUAAGAUAAGUGAUUAUAUAAUCCUCCGUUCUACAAGAUAUCAUUCAUAUAUGAGACAUGGAACAUAAUUAAUCUCAUCGCCCAAUACUUUGUUUCCCUAUUUAUGAUUUGUAAUGACAUAGAACUUCAAAUCGAACACAUUAAUCAAGUCCUGGUCGGGCUUGAUACUAUAAAUCAACACAAAAUCACCGAGUGGCCUAAAGAUAUCGUUUUUACCGUUAAGGCAAAAGGAACAGAUAAACUUUGACUUAUAUGCUUAAACUAUUUACUCAUGAAAUCAUGCCAACAAUACGUUUUAUAACAUCAACUUACAGAUGUGUUUACGUAUCAUCAAUGCACAACUAAUUUGUAAACUACAACUCAUAUAUCUCCGUCAAAAGAUUAUAAGAUAUUAUUGUUUUAAAAUUACUCGUGAUAAAUUCUAUGAAGUAAUUCUCUGAGUGUGGGUUAAUCCAAGACUUAAAUCUCCAUUUCAAAGUACUCAAGAAUAUUGCAACAAUAUUGUUAUGUGUAAAACCCUUUAGACAAUCUACAAUUCAAUUCAUGAUAGUCUUAACUCACCACUUACUUCUAAAAGUAUGAUCGACUGUGAAUAUUUGACCAAUCAAAUUAUUCUAGAAGUAAAACAUACAAAAUGAAACACUAAAUAAACAAUAGAAAGAAGGUAGUAAUCCAACUCAUAAAUAAAUCUCCAUUAUUUAAUCACCAAAAGUCAAUUACAUUUAUUCUGUUACAAGUUUCAAAAUAACUAUCUAACUACUAAAACUAAUAUCAUCUUUCAGACCAAUGGUCCUAGCAUGUUGAACAUGCUUGACCCGACUCAGGCCCAUUGUGAGGGGGUCAGCUAGAUUUUCUUCUAACGAUACCCUCUUCACAACGAGGUGACCUUGUUCUAUCCUAUGUCUAAUGAAAUGGUAUUUUCUAUUGCUAUGUAUCGAUCUACCAUGACCUUUUAGCUCCUUUGUUAAGGCAACCGAUCCUUUAUUAUCACAGAAAAUCUUCAUGGAUCCUUAAUGGCUAGAACAACUCCAAGGUCUCCAAUGAAGUUUUUCAACCAAAUAGCCUCCUUCGAUGCUUUACUUUCUGUUAUGUACUCUGAUUCACAAGUAGAAUCAGCCAUCAUCCCCUGUUUGGAACUUUUCCAGGUUACCACUCCUCCAUUAAGGGUAAACACCCAGGCAGAUAGAGAACGAAAGUUGUCUCUGUUUGUUUGAAAGCUGUUGUCACUAUAACCAGUUACUCUCAAUGUAUCACUGCCACCAAGCAUAAGGACCGAGUCCUUAGUUCUUCGCAGAUACUUGAGAAUAUUCUUAACAGUUGUCCAGUGAGCUCUGCCUGGAUUUCCCUGAUAACGACUAACCAUUCUCAAAGCAAAAGCCACAUCAGGGUGAGUACAUGUCAUAGCAUACAUGAUAGAUCCAAUGGUGGAAACAUAUGGAACUCUACUCAUUUAUGUUAUUUCUGCAUUGGUACUCGGACCCUGAGUCUUACUCAAUUUGGUAUUACUCUGGAUAGGCAGUUCUCCUUUCUUGACAUUCUUCAUACCAAAACGCUUUAGUACCUUUUCCAAGUAUGUACUUUGACUAAAUCCAAUUAGUCUUUUUUUUAUCAUUUCUCUCAAACACCUUAUCCCCAAAAUAUAAGCAGCCUCUCCUAGAUCCUUCAUAGCGAAACACUUUCCAAGCGAAGACUUAACCUCUUGCAAUGUUGGAAUGUCAUUUCCUAUAAUAAGUAUGUUGUAAAUGUACAAUACCAGGAAGGUUAUUAUACUCCCGCUAGCUUUGACAUAUACACAAGAUUCAUCUUCACUUCUAGAGAAGCCGAACUCUUUGACCUUCUCGUCAAAGCAAAGAUUCCAGCUGGUAGAAGCUUGUUUCAAUCCAUAGAUUGAUUUCUUAAGCUUACAUACCCUAUGCAAAUAAUUUGCAUCCAUAAAACCCAUUGGCGGACUUGUAAACAAUCUCAGCCAAUUUCUUGUUAAAGAAAUCGGUUUUGAUAUCUAUCUGCCGAAUUUCAUAGUCAGGAAACGCAACUAUGGCUAGCAUUACCCUUAUAAAUUUUAUCUUAGCUAUUGGUGAGAAGGUCUCAUCAUAGUCAACUCUGGGGUUUGAGUAAAGCCCUUCACAACCAUUCUAGCCUUGAAAGUGUGUACCUUUCCAUCUGUGUCAGUCUUCUGUUUGAAGAUACAUUUGAACCCAACUAUCUUACAGCUUGGUACAUUUUCAAACAAAUUCCAAACUUGGUUGUCAAAUAUGGACUUGAUAUCGCUGUCCAUUGCUUCUUUCCAUUUGGCUGAUUCAGGGCCAACCAUUGCUUCCUUGUAGUUAGAAGGUUUAUCCAAAUUUACCAAUGUAUUAUCACUGAUAAACGUAUCACCAACUGCAUUAAUAUGAAAGCUAUAGAACUCAGAUGGCAUUCUAACUUUAGUGGAAUGCCUAAGAGGUAAUGAUUUGUUAACCGGUUCAACUAUAAUAUCUUCCUCAGGUUAAGCCCUAGCAUCUUCAGAAGUUCCUUCAUCAUUUGACUCUUGAAUCUCUUCAAGAUCAAUUGUACUCCCCCUGUCCUCUUUUACAUAUGAUCACCCUCUCUCUCGAAAUACCCCCCCCCCCCCUUUGUGAUCCAAAGACCAUGUUUUCACUAGGUCUGUAGAACAAAUAUCCAAAGGACUUCUGUGGACAGCCGAUGAAAAUACAUCUCUCACGUCGAGGUUCAUGCUUGUUAUGAAUCUCUCUUGUAAUAAAAGCUUCACAACCCCAAACCUUGAUAUGUGCUAACGAGGGAACCUUCCCUGUCCACAUCUCAUGAGGUGUUUUGGAAACCUUGUUAGUAUGGACAAGAUUAAGAAUGUGGGUGACAGUCUCUAAGGCAUACCACCAAAAUGAGAUUGAAAGUGAAGCUCAAAUCAUCAUGGAACGAACCAUGUCCAACAAGGUUCGAUUACACUUCUUAACCACACCAUUAAGUUGUGGUAUCCUAGGAAGUUUCAUUUGUGAAACUAUUCUACAUUCCUUGAGGUAGUCAUGGAACUCGAUACUAAGAUACUUAUCGUCUCUAUCAGAUCUAAGCAUGUUUAUCUUCCUGCCCAGUUGAUUCUCGACUUCUUGAUUAAACUCCUUAAACUUUUCAAAAGUUUCUGGAUAAUAGAGUACAUUACAUAAGGAUAAGAAAAACAUAACAAUGGACUGCGGAUGCUGAAGAAGAACUGACUCUAGGUGCUGAGAUGAUCGCGGAUGGUGAACCGUUGCGGUAGAUCGAUGAUUGCGGUAUCUUAGUUCAAGAGGGUCACUUUUAUGUUUCAACAAUUUCCCCCUAAGUGACCUCUUUAACUCCGAUUCAUGUAUCAAGUUUGAGGAACUUGAUCAAAAUCCACCAGAACUUCUGACGUUUUCAAGCCAAGUGAUUCUUGUAGAAAUUUCAAACUUGACUUCAGUGGUAGUAUGCUUCGAUCUUUCUACUGUGGUUUUGCAGAUAUCAAGUUGUUUCUUGGGCAGGCGGUGCAUAGCAUUAAUCGGAAUGAAGUAUUUGACGUUGUCAACCUUCCGUUUGAAUAUGAUACCAAGUUCAGGAAAGUUUGUUGCGCCUAGUGAUCUUUCUUCAAAGCCUUCGGUAGGCAUUGGCACAGGUUCAAGUGGGGUAAGAUCAAACUUACUGAUGAUGGUGGGGUGGAUAUCCAAAUCAAUCUUGGCGAAGUCACAAAUUGUAUCCCUCAGAAAGGAUUUGGCUUUGUCAAGCGCCAUUUGCAUCUUCGGAUGCUUUUCUGCCUUGUUUUGGAAUACUCUGGCGAGAGGAAGAUUUCUUCUGGAUUCAUGCUUGGGAAAUCUGCCUGAGUGCGUAUGUAGUCAUGCUCUCUUCUGGUAAGGGUGUACUGAACGAAGUCAGCCUUCAUAAACUUCCGCAUCUUGUAAUUCUUGACUGCGGAUGGUCUAUUGUUAGACCAUAUGUUUUCAACAGAAGAGACAUGCUUCGCAUAAAAGCUAUUAAGUCUUUCAAGUUCCACAGACAGUCGUUUGUGAUCAGGGAGGCUGCAGCCAAAAGACUCAAAAACUGCAAAAUACUUGGCAUUGGGAGAGAUUGGAAUAUCCCAAUAUCCAUCAGAGGGAGGUUCAGCAUAUGUGAGAUGUGGAGUGUAGUCUUCAUCCAGUAGCCUGCGGAGCGGAUUGACCCAUAAGUUAAUCAGCGACUCAUCUAUCAUAGUAUCAAAAUCGCGUUCUCUCCAUAUAAGUUCAGCAAGCUUGGCCGCUUUCCAAUCGUGUUUUCUUUGGGCUGUGGCAGGAGAGUCUGUGGAACUUGCUGAUGACAUAUUUUCCUCAAGAUUUUUGAGGUGAGGAGGAGUCUCAGGCCUUUUGAGGGAGUUGUUUAUUGGUGAAGAGUGAGGAGAUGGAAUAUUGUAGGAUAGUGGAGGUGAGGCCUGCUGUGUGGGAAUUUUCUUUGUGGUGAUGGGAGGGCUCUGAUGGAUGGAAGUAUAUGAGUGGUGGACUUCUUCAUCACUUCCCCCUCUUGAGGGAUGCAAUGGUGGUGCUUCCUCAAGCCAUUGUUUAAGUCCAUCCACCUUGGCACAAACUUCUGCAAAGUGAGCUUUCAUGGUCUCGGCCAACUGUGAGUUGUUUGGGGUGGAGGAGUUGAAGAGCAGCUUGUGUAUAUCUUUGGUGAGCUGGAGGAUCUUAGGGCCAUGGAAGUUAGAGGUGAGGGAUUUCUGCAUGCAGUUGAUAGUGUCAUGAAGAACAAAGAUAGUGUACUCAUAGGCAGUAUGAGUCUCAUCUAUCACUUUCUGAGACAGUGAAGCUUGAUCCGCAAUAGCUGCUUGAAGAUCUUGUUUGAUUGCGGUCACCUCAGUAAUGAGGCAUUCCGCUGCAGCCAUGAAUUCCUGAUGAUCAGCCCUGCGGUUGUUGUCAAGGGACCGGAUCCCCAUUUCUACCUUGAGAGAGAUGCACUCAGCAACCAUACGCUCUCUCGUCUCGAGUCUUUCAACGUGGUCAAUUAAUGACUGCGGUCCUGGAAUAUCUUCAGAUAGAGGUUGGGUAGGUUUAACCACAGCCAAAAUUUGAUCAACUUUGGCUUGGAGAUUGAGGAAUUCCUUCCUGGUGGCAGCAUCCUUCUUCUUUUUCUUUUUCUUUUCAUUGGGUUUGGAAGUGGAAUGUUGGGAACUGCUGGACUCUUCUUCUUCUUCAAACAUCAUAAGGUCGUCGUCUGAAGGAUUUGGUUUGUUGACCUCUUGGAUGUCUUCAUCAUCAAAACUGAAGGUAGGGGCUGAGCUAACUUCAAUUGCCGGCUCUUCGUCUUGAGAUGGGUUGACUACAGGAGAUGGAACAGGAGUUGGAGUAGGAGGAACUUUCGAGGUAGCUGUGGCUGCGACUGAAGCUUGAGCUUUCAUCAUAGUUUCUGCCAUUUGAUCCAUCCAGUUUUGAACCUUUUGGAUUGUGGCAGCAGUAUGGGCAUUGCUGAUGGCAUUUGCCCAAUACUUGGCCACAGACAGUAUUUCCUGUUCCUUCUGUUGUUGUUGUUUGACCUGUUACUCCUUGCGGGCUUGGAAAGCUCUUUUGAAGGCAACAUAUUUCUUGAUUUCGACAUCAGUAGUUGGCUGAUACCGACUCCAAGAAUCACUUGAGUCAUCGCCGUCAAUUCUUUGUGUUCGCACUAAGGUGUCCUUUGGGUUCACGGAUCCUUGCACAUGUGUGCUCGCUGUGCCUAAAUCACCUGAAAGGAAUAGAAGCAGAGUAGGAUUUCCUGGGCUUCCUUGAUCUCCUUGACUUGUGGUCAAGUCUGGCCUCGACCCAGUUCUGGCAUGGGUGAAAGAGAUGCCCUGCGGAUGGAUUGGUAUUUGAAGUGUUUAGGAUACUUUCAAAAGGAUGGAGUCCAACUCCCGGAAGAAAAAAUGUGCAGUCGGGAAGCCCUGGAGACCUUAGGGCAAUGUCGAGAUUUAUCUACUUGAGAUAUAACUGGGGGGCUGUAUCCACGUUCGGAUGAUGAAGAGGAUGAAACAAUCUCACAUGAUGAGGUUGAGUGGUAUUCGAGUGUGGUAUUGAAUGGAUGUGCGGCCAUCCCAAGGACUACCGGAGCCUGUUGAAAGGCUUCAGUAUCAGUCCGGUCACGCAUUUGGCCAGAGGUUUCGGUUGUUUUUCGUUUCUUGAGGAUAGAUAUUGGUUGUCUAUCUUCCUCAGAGUCACUGCUCGAUACAGUGGUGGGUUUGGUUUUGCGUUUCUUUGAGGGUGCGGUUUGUUUUGGGGCAUUCUUCUUAGGUGUACUAGAUUUCUUUUUGGAUGCCACUGUAUUUCUCCAUUGAGAAGGGUUAGAUAGUGUAGUAGCAGAGGGGGCUGCGGUACCCUCAGGGAGAAUGGUUGCGGAAGGAAGAGGUGGGGUAGAAGGGUAUGGGACAAUACCCUCCGUGGCCUCUAUAUGAUCUGAGACAUAAGCAGUCUCAAGACUAAGCAAAGUAAGAAUGUGAAUGGGAAGCCUGCGGAUAGGUCCAAAUAAAGUUUGAUCAGAAGAGGGAUUGUACCUUUUGAGAUCCUUAGUGACAAAGAUGUUGAUGUCACUGCCCAUGUUGAUACCAACAUCCGCAUGUAGAUCAGAUAUGCAUAAGGACCAGAAUCGAGCAAAUGUGAGCUCGGUUGGGUUCUCCCUUGGGUGCUCUUUGGGAAUAUAUUGGAGGAAAUCAUCCCAAAGAAUCUGGCCAUAAUUGACAUCGUGGCCCGUGUAGAUGCUCCACACUAGUUCAAGGAUCUUCAAACCCAUGUUGUCGAUGCCUCCGGUUCUGCCGGAUAGACAGCGGAUGACAAAAUGGCAUAUGAACUGCCAAACCGCAUGCAGUUGGUUCUUCUUAAACUCACCAAUCCCUCGGAUCGGUUUCUGAUAACCCAUCUGGUAGAGUGCGGUGGUGAUGUCAGAUAACGACGGUGUGAGGAUCUUGAUGGAGGGAAGAAUCAGAAGAUUUAUGACAGACAAGAACUUCUCUUUGGUCAAGAUGACCAAAGAAUCAUUGAUAAGGUUGAGAUGCACUUCUUGGGGGUUCUCCAAUGGUCGGUAUGCAGAAAAAGCACACUUGAAGAGCGUAGAAACAGGAACAACGUCAGUGAAUGCAUCAAAUGAACCAAACAUAAUAUGGUUCUUGAGAAACUUGAUCGUAAGGUUUGAUGGGGCAUUAUACGACGAUGAUCUUCAAAAACUGCUCUGAAGUUGCUUGAGGAUAACGUUGGAGAUGUGGAACCAGUUAGAUUCAUGGAGCCUGAAGCCUUGGAUUGCUUCUUUGAUGCACCUAUUUUCGCCAUUGAGAGAUAAGAGAAUGGAGUUCUUGAGAGUUAUGGGAGUUUUGGAGAGUUGAGAGAGAACAAUCGAUUAAACAGAGAGCGUAAACGAUUUUAAGGAAGGAGACGGGUUUAUAAAGGAGGUAAAAAGGAUUUUAACCCUAGGUGAAAGAUAAAAGAGGGUAAGAAGUCGAAUGGGUUUUUUUUGGGGGGGGGGGNCAAUGAUUUUGGGAUUAAAUCUCAGCCACACGAAGAUGAAACGGGUUUUAGAAAGAUUUUGAGAGAUUUCAAAAAGGGUUUGCAUUUAAUGUAGGAUUAGACGCAUGUCAAUACGUCAGGUAAACGUGGGGUAAUGAGAGAGAAAGUUGUAACUGAUGGGACGUGGUUGGGAGAGGAAAAGACAAGUUGAGGAAUGUGACAGUUUCUAAAGGGAAUGUCAUCAUCCCUAAAAUAAGUGUGAUACGGGGUUUAUUCAGAAAGGGAAUGUGACAGUUUCUAAAGGGAAUGUUUGUAUUUUAUUUAAUGAAGGAUCAUUAAAUAGCACACAAAGAUUCGAGAGUUAAUGAAACUGUUGGAAGUUAUUUAAGAUGAUUGCGGAUGGAAUCAUCAUUGCGGUUGAGAAACUUCAUCACGGAUGAACAAAGGAAAGAUUUUAGAGAGAAUCUGUGAGAAAAACACUUGUACAAAAGUUAGAAAUAAAAGACCAUUAGAACCCAUGAGAGGCACGUAUGACAUAUGGUUGCGGUACCUAGGCUGCGGUACCUAAACCAUCUAUCAUAUGUAAUUCUCAGUUAGAACCGCAUUGGAGACCAAUGAUGGUCUGUGGUAGCUAACACUUCAGAAAGAAUUGCGGGGCUAGAUUCAUCAUUCCCAACAUUUGUAAGAAUGCAUUGAGUCUGGUAGAGUCAAGUGCUUUUGUAAAAUCAUCAGCAAUCUCUUCAUGAGUAGGAACAAAGAUGAGUUCAAUAUUACCUUUCAGAAUAUGAUCUUUGAUGAAAUGAUACCAUAAGUCAAUAUGUUUUGUCUUGGAGUGCUGAAUAGGAUUAUGAGAGAUCGCUAUAGCACUUUCAGAGUCAUAGUAAAUUGGUAUCCACAGCAUUAUGUACCCGUAGUCUAGCAAUUGUGUCUUCAUCCAAAGAACUUGGGAACAAUAGCUGGCUGUGGCCACAUACUCGGCUUCUAUAGUGGAUAGAGAUACACACGUUUGUUUCCUUGAAGACCGGCUGACAAGUAUUCCUCCUAGGAAUUGGCAUCCACCAGAUGUACUUUUUCUAUCGAGCUUGCAUCCUGCAUGAUCCGCAUCUGUGAUGGCUUGAAGACUGAAGUCGUUGCCUGUGGGAUACCAUAAACCCAUUGAUUUGCUUCCUUUAAGAUACCAAAGAAUUUGUUUGGCUACGGUCAUGUGAGACACUUUUGGAUCAGCCUGGUAUCUUGCACAUACACCAGUUGCGAAGACAAUGUCAGGUCUGCUUGCGGUGAGGUACAUCAGUGAACCAAUGAUACCUCUAUAAGUCUUGUGAUCCACCGAUUCACCGGAGGGAUCAGCAGAGAUCUUAUAACCGAAGGCCAUAGGGACCUUAGCAGAAGAGCAGUUGUCCAUUGAAUAUUUCUUCAGAAGUUUAGUGGUGUAUUUUUGUUGAUGAAUAAAAAUUGCUUGCUGAAUUUGUUUGACUUGAAGACCUAGAAAGAAAUUAAUCUCUCUAUUCAUGCUCAUUUUGAACUUGUUGGUCAUGAGCUUAGCAAAUUCAUCUACCAUGCCUUGAUCAGUCGACCCGAAGAUGAUAUCAUCCACAUAUAUUUGUACCAUCAUAAGGUGGUCACCAUUUGCUUUUCUGAAUAAUGUGGGAUCAAUCACUCCUCUUUUGUACCCGGAUGAGACAAGAAAUUCAGAGAGUGUCUCAUACCAAGCUCUUGGGGCUUGUUUCAGACCAUAGACUGCUUUUCCAAGCUUGUAGCAAUGGUCUGGAAAUUCAACAUUUUCAAAUCCUGGAGGUUGCUGAAGAUAAACCUCUUCUUUUAGUUCCCCAUUGAGAAAAGCACUCUUAACGUCCAUCUGGUGUACCUUGACAAUUUUGUGGGCUGCGUAUGCUAGAAAGAUCCGGAUGGCUUCCAUGUGUGCUACCGGAGCAUACGUUUCAUCGUAGUCAAUGCCUUCUAGUUGACUAUAGCCCUUGGCCACAAGUCUUGCCUUGUUUCUGAUGACAGAUGUCUCACCCCAAAACCAAGAACGGCGGAAACGUUCUGGGGCGGAGGACGUCAUGUAUAAUAUCAACAACAAUGUAAAGUAGUAAACAAGCAACAACAUCAUCCAUUUCAUUAAUAAUAUAAUUAUUAUACAAAUAUGUUCUGUCAAAUUUUGAUAAACACUAAAGCAUAAAUCAAAAUGAAAGAUAAGUCUUGAACAAGCUCCAUCUUCCUUUCUCCUUGCAUCGGUACCUGUCUAUGAUGACCUGAGGAUACAAGUAAUUUUGAAAGCGAGUAUCAGCUUUGAAGCUGGUGAGAUCAUAAGUAUUAAUGUGUCUUAAUUUGUAAAACUUAUAAUUUUUAAGACUUGACAUUAUUUUGAAAGAAAGCUCGUAUAAGUAUGAAAAUGUUUGUAGAUCAACUGUAAAUGUUUGAAAAACCCUAGAAAUCACUAUGAUUCCUAUUAGUAACAAAAGGAGUCUUCUACCAAGACUUAACUGUUCUCAAUGUAAUCUUCUACCAAGACCUAGCUGUGUUACUAUUAUUAUUAUUAUAAGAAAUUGUAUCCUUUGGUACUAGGAUACCUAAAUAUAAUUCACCUCAUUGGUUAUGUGAAUGAGUCACAAAAUAAAGGUAAUAAUAUAACUAACCUGAAUAUUACCCUUUGGUACUAGGGUAACUAACAUUGUUAACUUUAAGACAUCCGUAGACGUACUCUUACCUCUGUUGCUAACAGCUGGGUAUAGGAAUAGUUAAUCCCUUAAAGUAUACCUGUAAUGGUACCAACCGUUGACAUCCGUGGAUGUGCUUUUACCUCUGUAGCUAACAGAGAUUCUAGGAAUGGUCAAUCCCACAAUCGUAUCCUUUGGUACUAGGAUAUUAAAUCCAUUCUAUCUCGUCAAAUAUGUGAUUGUAUCACAAGGUAAAGGUAAGAAUGAGGAUUUGAUAACAGAGUCGAUACAUAUAAAAUGUAAUAGGACUCCUCCUGAUAUAUCUAUGUAAAAGUACUCCUAUAAGUGUGAUCAUGUAAUAAUAUAGUAGAGUACUGAAAUGUUCUACGUGUGCUAGCUGUAAUGUGUGUUCUCUCUAUCUAGCAAGUAUAGUAAUGUAAUCGUUCUAGUAUAGUUGUAUAUGUUCUCUUCCUAGUAUAGUUGUAUAUGUUCUCUUCCUAGUAUAGUUGUAUAUGUUCUCUUCCUAGUAUAGUUGUAUAUGUUCUCUUCCUAGUAUAGUUGUAUAUGUACUGUACUGUAAUGUUCUAGAAAGUAUUGACUCAUGAAUGAACUGACUCAUUGUAUGAUAUCGCGUUCUAGUAAUUGUUCUAGUAUCUUCCUAAACUACCCAUAUGGUAGUUUACUAGUAAUCUAUCUGGUACGUAUGGACAUGGAUGUAUACCCUUGCUACCCAAGGGCAUGUGUUGAACUGGAAGGACCUUUUAUGACUAUAUAUGUACACAUGAUAUAUAACUAAUAUUUAAACGACUUUCGGACGAGUACCCGAUAUCCCACCAGACCACAUCUCAAGCGCGAAAAGGAAAUAGGGUGGAUAGCCUUCCUAAGUCUUUUAAACAUUUCUUAUAUAACUAUACAUAUAGAGGCAUGCAAUUUAUAAUAUAAAAGCAUAAAUAAGUUUUGUAAGACAUUUGAAACAUAAAUAUUAUUUUAAGAAAAGAUCGACUUGAUGUCAAUCUAUAAAACAAUUUGAAGGCAUAAGUUUGAUAAAACAGUUUAAGUAUAAGGAAACAUUUGUUUGAAACACAGUUGUAAAUAAGUUUGAAAGGUAAUGUACGGAGUAAGAUGUACAGUGUAAUAAGUAGUUUAAAACAUAUAAAAUGUUUAUAAAAAUCAUUUGAAGGAAACUGUUUGGUAAAACGGCUAAUGAGUAGCCAAAUCUUUUGAAUGUUGUAUAUUAAUCACAUGUGAUUGAUGUAAUAAGUAAUAUAAUCCUACUUACUAAUCACAUGUGAUUGACAUAAUAAGUAGCAUGAUUCUACUUGUAUCCCCCCCAUAAAACAUUUAAAAUAGUUUAAAACAUUAGUUAAGGGGUAUGAACUCACCUGCAGUAAGUGACUGGAAUUGAACGGGCUGUUAUCGUACGGAAGGAUCGGACAAGUGCUUGGUGUCAAGUGAAGACUUAGACACACACAAUGAUCCUAAUUACAUAUGAAGACAUAUGUAUAUAAAUAAUUAGAGAUUUAAUCACUAAUUAUACAAGUAUAAACAUUUAACGCGAGGACAACACUUUUGGUCAAGUGCUAGGAGGCUAAUGGGUUGCAACAAAGGAGUGCAAUGCCCCUAAUGGAAGUUUAAGGUCAAAAGACCAUAUUCAUUGGAGUUUACGGCCCAGGGGAGUAAGCUCUUGGCCGUAAACUCCCAACCAAGGCUUGGAAUGGUACAUUGAAUUACUACAACCUUAGUGGGAAUUGUUUCAAGGCCUAUGCAAGUGUUUGGGCACCAUAUUGACUCCUUUGGGGAGUUUACGGCCCAAAGACCCUUUUCCCUUGGAGUUUACGGCCGUAAACUCCCUUGGGAGGGUUCUUAUGGUUCUUUCAAGUCUCUAUAACAACUAGGAACAAUUCUAGGCUUUAAUACUUGGCUUAAGGAAGGUUUAUGGCACUAAAUGGUACCAUUUUAUGGAGUUUACGGCCUUGGAACCUUUUGGGCCGUAAAUUCCCUCACAAAUGGGGUUUUUAGUAUUUUAACUAGUCCAAAACUCAUCUAGGUACUUGCCCUAAUAGUCUCAUGGACUAAGGAAAGGUUUAGGGUGUCCUUUGACCCCUUUAAAGGAGUUUACGGCCCAAGAAAUACUCUUGGCCGUAAACUCUUCAACAUUUGUGCUUUUCAUGAGUUUUCUAGGUUCUAAACACUUAGGAGUACAUGCCUAAAAUAAAGUCUAAGCCUUAGGGAAAGUUUGAAAGGAUUUUGGCACUUAAACUUGGAGUUUACGGCCUAAGGAGCUUCUUGGCCGUAAACUCCCUUCUAGAAUUGAUUUCAAAUGGUUUUGGUGGAAUAAAUCAUGAGCUUAAGACUUCUAGGUUUUUGUUCUAAGGCUAAAGGAACAUUAGGCACUCAUUUGUGCCUUCACUUGGAGUUUACGGCCCAAGAGAUGUUCCUUGGCCGUAAACUCCUAAAACUAAAUGGUUUUGAUUGAUUUCUAGCCUCUAAUGUUCAUACAUAAAGUCCUUAACUAGUUGCCUAACACGGAAAUGGGACUAGAUGGCCUUUAGGCUUGAUUUUGGAGUUUACUCCCCAAGAACGUUCUUGGGCGGUAAACUCCCGGAUCUUGCAUUUUAGACAUGUAAACAAUGUUAUUUAGCAUAUAACAAGUAUUAAAACACAUCUAGGAAAGUAGACUCACAAUCUGGGAUGAAAACCCGAAGAUCCGUGAGAGAGAAAUCUGCUUUUCUCUAAUUGGAAUUCAACUACUGAACCAAUUUGGUUCAGAAUUCUAUUUAUAGUCCUGAGAUUUUUGGCAGAAAAUAUUUCUAUUCUCGGAAUGGAUUCUAAUGACCUAGAGUAAUGGAAUUACAGUGUUGCACAAAAUCCUAGUGCAUCCACUCUCCUAAUAACUCCUUAGGUGUAAAACCCUAAAACUGCCAAACUUAUUCCAAAAGUUUGAAUUUUCACUGAAACUGCUCUACUUCCAUUGGAUUGAUGUGGUUUGAUUUGAAUGGAAAAUUUCGGGUUGUCACAGUUAAGGGGUAUGAACUCACCUGCAGUAUGUGACUGGAAUUGAACGGGNNNNNNNNNNNNNNNNNNNNNNNNNNNNNNNNNNNNNNNNNNNNNNNNNNNNNNNNNNNNNNNNNNNNNNNNNNNNNNNNNNNNNNNNNNNNNNNNNNNNNNNNNNNNNNNNNNNNNNNNNNNNNNNNNNNNNNNNNNNNNNNNNNNNNNNNNNNNNNNNNNNNNNNNNNNNNNNNNNNNNNNNNNNNNNNNNNNNNNNNNNNNNNNNNNNNNNNNNNNNNNNNNNNNNNNNNNNNNNNNNNNNNNNNNNNNNNNNNNNNNNNNNNNNNNNNNNNNNNNNNNNNNNNNNNNNNNNNNNNNNNNNNNNNNNNNNNNNNNNNNNNNNNNNNNNNNNNNNNNNNNNNNNNNNNNNNNNNNNNNNNNNNNNNNNNNNNNNNNNNNNNNNNNNNNNNNNNNNNNNNNNNNNNNNNNNNNNNNNNNNNNNNNNNNNNNNNNNNNNNNNNNNNNNNNNNNNNNNNNNNNNNNNNNNNNNNNNNNNNNNNNNNNNNNNNNNNNNNNNNNNNNNNNNNNNNNNNNNNNNNNNNNNNNNNNNNNNNNNNGUUCUAGGUUCUACCGAGGACAUAAAUGCUGCAUAGUGGCAGUGAUCAGAUAAGUCCUUGGAAGAACGAGUCUAGAUACUUGUGGAUGGGAGGCUAAUAAUUUGACCUGGUGGGUGGUCUUUCGUCCAUACAUGAAGACGUGGCAGUAGAUGAUCAUCAGCUGCGGUAGAAGGGAUAUCUUGGAUGUCAGAGGAAUCUGCAGUUGGAGAUGGCAGUUCCCCCUGGAUUUGAGAACAUCCUGCUAAAUCAUCUUGAUCUAUUGGAGCAGAAUUUUCUUGAGUAAUCGGCAGAGGUUGAGGUUCCCCCUGGAUUGCGGAUGGGAGUUCCUCUGGAACCUAAUAAGGUUCCCCCUGGAAUUCAGAUGGGAGAGUGACAAUUCUAGGAUCGGUUCUAGUGUCAAUAUUCUCUAUGAAUUCAUCAUCUGAGUCCGAAGGUUCGUUUGAUGGUGAAGCUUCGCUUCGGGCAGGAAUGUAAGCAUCAUCAAGUACUGGAACCUCAACGGUUGCGACUAGAUUCAGAGUAGAGCUUCCCCCCCUCAACCGGAGAGGUGGAAGUAUUGAGCGAUACUACUUCAGAUAGAGAUGGUCCAGAUACGUCGGCAUGUUGUUGUUGAGCUACGGGUGACACACGAACUUCGGAUAGUUUUGCCGUUUGAAUGGGAUCAAAAAGAUCAUCAUAGUUGAAUUCAACUAGAUUUAGAGGUCCGGAAGCGGCUGGAAUGUCACUUUCCAUGAUUAUAGUGGUUUCGGUGGAUGGAGGUGCGAUGUGGAUGUGAGAAUCAUCAAAUUUCACAUCAAAGCUUUCAAUGAUCAACCUUGUUCGUCUGAUGAGCACUCGAUAUGUAACCUUGUUAGUGGAAUAACCAAGGAAGAUACAUUCGUCAGAUUUUGGUGCAAACUUGUUGAGUUGGUCUCUAUUGUUGAUCACGAAGCAUCUACAUCCAAAGAUAUGAAAGAAACGAACAUUGGGUUUGCGAUUGUUGAGACCUUCAUAUGGUGUUUUAUUGAGACGCUUGCACACUAUACUUCGGUUUUGAACAAAGCAUGCGGUUGCUACUGCUUCAACCUAGAAGUAGAGAGGAAGUUGGGCGAAGUUAAGCAUGGAUCUGGCUGCUUCAACGAGUGUGCGGUUCCUUCUUUCUACUACACCAUUUUGUUGCGGUAUAUAGGGUGCUGAGAAGCUGUGAGAGAUGCCUUUGGAAACUAGAAAACUGUUGAGAAGAUGAUUAGUGAACUCAGUUCCAUUGUCACUGCGGGUGCGUCUGACUGGAAGCUUGAUUUGAAGUUCGAUUUCUUUGAUGAAGUUAAUGAAGAUUUGUGGUGUCUCUGAUUUGAGUAUGAGAAAGAAGAACCAUGUGAAGCGUGUAUAGUCAUCAACAAUAACCAGUAUAUAAUUUUUGUGGUGAAGACUGGCUACGGUUGAGGGACCGCAGAGAUCAAUGUGUAAUAGCUCCAGUGGUUCAGAGAUAGAAGAAUCCAUUAUCAGAGGAUGGCUUGCUUUUGAUUGUUUACCGCAUUCACAAGCUGGACAAAGAGUAUCGUUGCUGAAUUUGAGAAUGGGGAGACCGCAGACUAGUUCUCCAGUGACGAGGUUGUUGAUGUACCGAAAGUUGAGAUGAGCUAGCUUGCGAUGCCAUAGCCAGCAGACUUCGGAUACAACUUUGGACAGAAAGCACAGCUGCGGUUUACCAAUGAUGAGAGAAACAUCCAGAGGAUACAUCGUGCCUUCGGAGCGAGAUUUGAUUAAGCAAGUGCUUCGAUCACUCGUCAUUAUGUAACAGAAUUGAUCAUCAAAUUCAACACGAUGUCCUGCUUUACAUAGUUGGCCAACACUGAUAAGAUUGUGUUUAAGGCUUUCUACAUAAGCAACCUUCUGAAUGGAAAAGUUCCCCGUAGUGAGAACACCGUAACCUCGGAUGACACCGUUUGCAUUGUUGCCAAACGUGACAUUUCCACCAUUGCAUAUAGGCCUGAAAUCCCGAAGGUACUCUAACCUUCCGGUCAUGUGCAAGGAGCAGGCAUUGUGAAUUAACCAUUCUUCUUCUUGUUCCUCCUUGCACAAAGCCUGAGAAUUAAACGGUUAGUUUAGGCAUCCAAAUAAGUUUGGAGCCAGGGACAAUUGAUGUAUUUUUAAAUGAUGCAUAGUCCGAGGUUGCAUAAACAGGUCUUUUGUCAACUUUUAGACCUAGUCCUGGGUGUUUGUUCAGGUUUGGAUUGUUGCGAGUUUUUUGAAAAGUACGAGGUUUCUGACUUUGAUUUGACUUGACAUGAGAUAAAACCUUUUGACAGUUGCACUGACAUUUACAAAAAGAGAGUUUGUCAUUGAAUCUGACAUUAUGCUUGGUCAGCGGUUUAUAGAGUGAAUUGGACUUGGUAUGGGUCCGAGGCGGGUAACUUCUGAAAGAUUUGACAUUUGGUUUCUGAAAAGUUUGUUUUGAAUGAAGUUUUGGACUGUGAGAUUUGACAUGCAUGUUGUUUGGUUUCUGAAAAGUUUGUUUUGAAUGAGGUUUAGCACGUGUAAAUCUUUGAGUCCCUUUAGGUGGAUUUGGUAAGAUUCCCUUCCACUUGUUUUGAUGUGAUUUUAAAAGUGUUGGAGUGGGUAAAAUUUCUUUCCAAUUAGGGUCUUUUGAGGAAUAGACCUGAAAAACAUAGUUUCUUACAAGUUUGACACCUUUUUGGGUUAUGUCAGAAGUAGCAGAAAUGACUUUUGAAACUGAACUUCCAUUUUUGCUUGUUUCCAUGAAAGAAGAGUUUUUUGAAAUGUAGUUUGUGAAAACAAAUUUUUCUCGACUCUUAGAUUUUGGAAUUCUCACAUGUUUCUUAUUUUUUGAAAAACUUUGUCUGCUUGUGCCUUGAGAUCUAAUUUCUUCUUUGAAAUCCCUUUUUGCCAAGGAUUUUGGUGAACCACAGUCAUUGUUAUUCAACUGCGGUUUCCUGGAAUUUUUUGAAUGAUUUUGAGAACGUGGGCUUGAAUCAUCAGAACUUAAGGAUUCUGGAAUUUGAGAGCAUUGGCCUACUUCAAAAUUUUCUAUAGGUAACUCAUGAAAAAUUGGCUGAAGAGUUGUGGUUCCUUGAACUGAUAGUUUUGGUAAAGAUGAUGUGACUACUACAGAGUAGGUUUUAGAUGAAACUGCGGUAGGACACUUCUGGGACAUUUGACUACCGUGUGGAACACUGUGGUCUGAGGACAAAAAUGGAAAUUCCUUUGAGACUUUGGGGCCUUCAAAAAUAAUUUCUUCAUCAACUACGGAUGAAGUUUGAGAAUUUGAAUGGGUGGUGCCACUGAUGGGAGUUUGAUCACAUGUGUGACCAUAAUCCUCACGCACAAUUUACUUAAUGACACAAUUAUUGCUUAAAUUGUGCAGUCUACCGAAGUGAGUUUUGAUAUCUUCAGGAAAAGUCUUGUCAUUGACAGGGAAAUGAAAUUCUCUAUCAGGAGGGACAUACAAUCUGUCUUUGUUGAACCGGGGUGAGGCAUCCAUUGCGGUAGGAUACCCAUUUGACCAACCCCAAUUAUAUCUAUUGUCCACGGUUCCAUUGUUUACCAAAUUUUCAAUAGCCUCACUUUCAUCAAAUAAUUUUUCAAUUAAGAGAUUUAAGCGUACAAUUUCUCUCUGAGCUAAAUCUCUCUGGUUCAAAGCUAUCUCUAAUUGGGUUUCACUUAGCAUUCUAUCAUAUUUCUCUAACUCUAAAUCCUUCUCUAACAUUGCCAUCUUAAGUCUCUUGUUAUCCAGUCUUCCUCUCACAUGGAACAUCUCUUGGGACGCAAUGUUCUUCUCAUCUAAGGCUUUGUUAUAGUCUAUAAGGACGGCAGCACAAGUGUCAUUAAGAUCAUCUAUGUAGGGUUGACAGUCAUGCAUACUAUAAUUUAAAGUUUGGAUCAUGAGUUUUACCUGUUCGACGAUGCUUAGAGUCCCAUCCUUUGCCAUUUAGCAGUAGUUUUUGUUUAACAUUGCUGACCCAUCAUCAUCCGCGGUGGCCAGCAUGCAGAUUUUCCCUUUUCCUUUAACACUGUUGAUGGUCUCUUCUUCAUCUCCUGAUGACCAAACUUGAUGGUCUCUUUUAACUUGGGCCACAUAUGCCCUUGCUUUUUCUUUUUCUUCGAACUCUUGAGCCAUUCUAAGAUAGAAUGCUCUGUCCUUGACUACAUUGGCCUUACAAUCUUUUGCGAAGUGAUUUUCUUUAUUGCUUUGUGACAAAUCACAACAUCAGUCUUGUCUUCUGAUUGAGUACCGGAGUCAUUGUUCUGAGGAGACUGCAGUACCUCCUUUGGUUGAUUAUUGUGAGAGCCUUUGGGAUAUCGAGAAUGGUUGUUCUGAGGACCGAAGUUACGGUUGAAUGGAGGUUUGUUGAAUUGUUGAUUCUUGCGGAAAGAAGAAGGUGGUAUGCGGUUGAACUGUUGGCUAGCCAGAGCAAUAGCCUUCUGAAAUUCUUCUUCGUCAUCAUACUCAGAAUCCACUUCGUAUGAAUGCAGUGGGGUAUCAUACGAUGAAGAGUAGGGUGACUGCGGUGGAGCUUGUGCUAUGAGAGCAAGCGGUCCUCCGAAGUCAGCACAGUCUUUGAGUAUAGUGGGUUCUUGUGCUUGGAGCUCUCCAUAGAGUUUGUAGAGUGAUAAAGAGUGAAUCUUCCUGUCGCCUUGGACUAUCAUCUUAGCCGUAGUCCAAUGUCUUCCUAAACCAUUAAGGAACUGGAGAUUGGUUUCAUGGUUGCUGCGGAUGGUACCAGCAUUUGAUAACUUUGUGACUAUCAGGUUGAACCUCUUGAAGGAGUCUUCCAAACUUUCACCCGUAUGAGCUUUGAAGUUGUUGAAGUUGUUGAGUGCGGUAGUGAGCUUCUUAUCUUGUGCUUGUUCUGAGCCUUCGUACAGGUUCUUGAGUACAUCCCAGAUCUCUUUUGCUGACUUGCAGUUUAUGAUAAUAUCAAAGUUGUCAGGAGCAACACCGCAAGAAAUUUCAUAAAAAGCAACAACAUCAUUUUCCAUUUUAUCGAGAUCAUCCUUGGUGGGACGGCUCAUGGUUGGUUGACCUCCUCCUGGCCUAGUUGCCGCGCCGUCAGUUUGGACUGGUGUAGGGACUGGAACGUGUGGUCCUUCUUCUACAGAUCGCCAUACAUCUCUACCCAGUCUUCUUAAAUACCUCUCCAUUCUUUGUGACCAAUGGUGAUAUUCAUUUGCUACCAGUAUUGGAGCUCUGUUAGAACCACCAACACUAUUGGAAACAUUCAGAGAUAACGAUUGUGCCAUUUUGUUUUUUUUUUUUCGAAAUGAGCUUUAGUGGUAUAGAAGGCCUAAUGAUAAAUCAGAGUUCUGAUAUUCAAAAAAGCAACCACUUUGGCUCUGAUACCAAUUGUUGAGAGAAAAAACUUGGAGACACACUUGAACAAACGUUAGAACAAGUAUAUUGCAGAAUAGUUAAUCUCAAAGGAUCUAAAAGCUCAACAAUAAUAUAUUUAGAUAGUUAGAUAGUUAGUUGCGGAAAGUAAAGAAAUAUAAAUGAAAGUAAUUGUUAUAUCAAGAAUACACUUAAACUAAUUCAUAACAAGGAAUGCAUUCACUCCUAGUUAAUAACGAAGAUCAAGUUUAGUGAUUAAGUCUAGAGGACUUGCUCCGGAGAGAGGUUAUAGUUUGAUAUGUUUCAGUAGCAAUUUAGAGUAAGAAGAGUAGAAAGAUAGAGAAAUGAAGAAGAUAACUUGGAGAAAUAUAUUCAGAAUAAUUCACAAGUUAUCGAAUGAUAAGAAAGAUGGUUGAAGAAGAAAUCUCGUAGUAAGAAGUUGUAAUAAUACAUCAUAAGGAGUCUCUAUUUAUAGAGUCUCGGAACUAAACAACUACUCUAUAAGCAGCCGUGCAAGGCAUGCUGGAUAACAGAGUACAUUACAUAAGGAUAAGAAAAACAUAACAAUGGACUGCGGAUGCUGAAGAAGAACUGACUCCGGGUGCUGAGAUGAUCGCGGAUGGUGAACCGUUGCGGUAGAUCGAUGAUUGCGGUAUCUUAGUUCAAGAGGGUCACUUUUAUGUUUCAACAAGUAUCGAUCAAGAACUAACAUAGUAUUAAUUAAAUGAUCAAAAGAAGACUAAUUAAAUAUAUGGGUUGAUUGUGUAAAUCAUCCAUACUUGUAUAGUGGGCUAAUGCUCCAUGGAUAAUCAAGUUGGGCUAAAACCCAUAGGAUGGUCCAUGGAUGCUCCAUGGUGUAUUUGUACCCAUGGAUCAUGGAAAUGAAAGGCCAUGACAAUUAGGGUUUACAUGGUGUAACCCUAACUAUAUAAUGAUCUUAUUCUUGGAGAAAACCGGCCACUAUGUGUGAGAAAAAGGGCUAGCUGAUUUUCAUAAAGUGUGGAUUUCUCUCUAAUCUAUUCCAAGUGUAUUUGGUGUUGUGUGAACCAUUUGAGCUGUCACACUUGGGGCACUAGGCACUCAAGCUUCAUGAAGACAUUCUACAUCAAAAAGGUAUGUAAUUCUAACUUGAUAUAUUCAUAUGGAUCAAUGUUAUUAUGCUAGUUAGGAUGAAUACCUUGGAAAGUUCAUAUUUGCAUGUAUAAUAGAGAAAACAUAGAUCCAAGGUAUUUAGGGUUGCAUGUACACUUAGGAGUGUUAUAAUGCUCAAAUUUCAAUAGUGGUAUUAGAGCCUAGGCUUGUUUUCUUGUUAUACUUGAAAAAUUGGCUUAAAAAUCGAAUUUUGAUGCUGUCUGCACAGCAGACUCGGCGAGUCCACUGAUGGACUCAUCGAGUCCAAGGCAAAAGGCAUCCAACUCGCCGAGUUGGUUCGUGCACUCGAUGAGUUGGACCCCCAGACAGCAUAUAUUUGAUCGUUUUGGCUGGAAUUGGACUAGGAACAUUACCCUAAGAUGUUUUUGGACUUAUAAACUUGUUUUUGAUGUGGUAAUGUUCAUGCUAAUCCAAUUUCAAAGAUAAUUGUCAAUAGAUUCAUGUUUUGUAUUAGUUUAAGGUUUAGACUAAUUACAUGAAAAAGUUUGAUUUGAAUUAUCUUGUUCUUAUGAGUUGCUUAGAUUAAUAGAAANNNNNNNNNNNNNNNNNNNNNNNNNNNNNNNNNNNNNNNNNNNNNNNNNNNNNNNNNNNNNNNNNNNNNNNNNNNNNNNNNNNNNNNNNNNNNNNNNNNNNNNNNNNNNNNNNNNNNNNNNNNNNNNNNNNNNNNNNNNNNNNNNNNNNNNNNNNNNNNNNNNNNNNNNNNNNNNNNNNNNNNNNNNNNNNNNNNNNNNNNNNNNNNNNNNNNNNNNNNNNNNNNNNNNNNNNNNNNNNNNNNNNNNNNNNNNNNNNNNNNNNNNNNNNNNNNNNNNNNNNNNNNNNNNNNNNNNNNNNNNNNNNNNNNNNNNNNNNNNNNNNNNNNNNNNNNNNNNNNNNNNNNNNNNNNNNNNNNNNNNNNNNNNNNNNNNNNNNNNNNNNNNNNNNNNNNNNNNNNNNNNNNNNNNNNNNNNNNNNNNNNNNNNNNNNNNNNNNNNNNNNNNNNNNNNNNNNNNNNNNNNNNNNNNNNNNNNNNNNNNNNNNNNNNNNNNNNNNNNNNNNNNNNNNNNNNNNNNNNNNNNNNNNNNNNNNNNNNNNNNNNNNNNNNNNNNNNNNNNNNNNNNNNNNNNNNNNNNNNNNNNNNNNNNNNNNNNNNNNNNNNNNNNNNNNNNNNNNNNNNNNNNNNNNNNNNNNNNNNNNNNNNNNNNNNNNNNNNNNNNNNNNNNNNNNNCAGUUUAAUGGGUGUCCACUCUCAUCCACCGCUUCCUUGACCGGUGGAGGGUCGUUAGCCGAACGGGUAGGACAAGGACUAGAUUUCUCCCUUCAUUAAAAAUAUUAAUGAUAAAUACUAAGUAACUAAACUCUUAUUAAUACCCAAUCUUAGUUACUUAGGAAAAAUUGUGAAUAAAGUGCUAAUCCAUGAAAUUACACUUUGUACUUUGUUUAAGCCGUUAGUGGAGCGUGUGUGGUUAACCAACACACUAACUUGGACUUAACAAGGUAGACAAAGGGUAACUUAAUAUUUAUCAUAGUAUUGGUGGAGCGUCUGUGGUUAACCGGCACAUCGAUUAAGGGGUAAAUAUUAAGGGUACCAAGUAUAUUUGCAUGGUUACUUCACACCUUGUUUUGUGUUCCUCGGCAUCCUAGUCACAAAAACCUGAAGGGCACACUCGAGAUUGAAACAUGCCAUUGAACAGUUCAAUGAAUCUAAAAAGAAUCUAGGAGUUUCAAAACCAAUUAAAACCUAAUAAUACAUUUCGUUUAUCUUGGUGGAAAUUGGUGAAUCAUCAUUCACCUACCUUCAAAUAUUUUAUAGCUUGGAUUACGGCAUCCCUCUUCUAAGUUAUAAAAUAGUUUGUUGGGUCCUAGCCUUAAUAUUUCAUAUUGGGUGUUAUAUUAAGGACUUUAAAUCAACUAUCUUGAAUAUCUCCCAAAAGAUGUCUAGUUCAGACAUCUAUGAUCUUCCCAAAUCUCUUGGAACUUCACUUCCUCCACCUCCUCCAAUUAUUCUCCCUAACCCACAAGUUCAAGGUCACUCAAGCCCUAUUGGCAAGGCAAGGUCUAGGUGUGAUCACAUCUUGGAGAUGAAGUCACAUAUUGACAAGCAAGGAGAGUGGGUGUCAAAGUCUUGAGAAAGUUGGUGGUUCAAUCAAUUUCUAAGUCACAUAGUGAUUUCCUUUGGGACUUAUAUGAAAUAGACUAUGACAAGACCCUUAAUGAUGUUAUCUAUUUGCUUGGUACUGCUGAAUCAAACUUUAUGGACAUUGACAAUGAUGACAUUGGAUAUCCAGUAAAGCAUUCUCUUCCCAAUGGAAAGGGAUCGGCUAUAGUCAACUCGGUUGACCAAAUGGUAAAGAGAAAAGCUAAGUCUGUGAUAGUCCUGUGUACCAUUAUCAAAGGGUCCAUAUGUUUGUAUUGCCAAAGAAAGGGCAUUGGUUGCGAAGCUGCCAAAUUUACCUAAGGAUGUUAAAGUCAAUAAGUUUGACUCUACUUCAGGUAAAAUCCACUAUCUAACUCUGUUAAGUUUCUAUUCUGAGAUUCUUGAUACAUGAUGUGACUGGGUCACAUGGUGAUGGUUUAAGAAUCAAAGGAAAGUGAAGAAACUUAAAGGAAGAAUAUGCUGAAUCUGAUCGCAUAGAUGGAUUUCUAUCGCAUAGUUUGAAAAAUCGGAUUCUUGAGCUACUUCUUAGGAGUUAUGAGAUAUUGCUUAGGAAUAGAUAACAACAAGUUUUCAUAUGGAUUGUAAGGAUAGUUUUUCCGCAAAGUUUUAAAAUAAAAGGAAAUUUUUGAUUUUAUUUAUUUUAAAAUAUCCUUACAAUGGCAUCUGUGGAAAUUUUUGUUGCUUAUAAGAUUCCAUUAGUAGCAAGAGUGGAAGUAUGAAAUUGAUUCUUUCAUUUGUGGUAAUGUCUAAAUUUACCAAAUAAGGAAAGAUUCUCAUCACCCAAGUUUCAAUUGGACCGGAACUUGGAAUCAUGCAAGUUGUAUAGCAUGAUGAAUGAGAACUUUCAAGUUUUGGAAAAUUAAGACUAAUUACUUGUUCACAUGGAUGUGUGAGUCAAGUAAAGGACUUAGGGAUCGAGUACACAUUCUUGUGCACUGAUUAAGUCCACCACUAAAGAUCGAUAAGAAGAAUCAAAUAAGGCAGAAGGAUAAAAGUUUCUCAAAUCUGAAAAGAUGGGAGAGUACUUUAGUAUCAGUUUUGUGAUCAUCUUAAUGAUUAAGAAACCAUAUCAAAAUUAGUUCUCUAAGGAAAUCUUAGUGCAUUCUUAUGACUAAGAAGAGGAACUUGAAUUGUUGAAAUGGUUAAAUCAAGAAGAUGAGUCAUACUUCGUUCCAAUACAAGUCUUAGAGUCAUACUCCAAGAUUGUCAUUUGAGUGACAUGUCUUAAAGAAGGUUUAAAACACUUGUCAAAUGUAAGAGUAAAAGUUUUCUACUCUUGUACAUUUGAAAUUGGUAAGUUGUGAUGUUUUGGAUAAAACAAAGACCAACUUAGGCCAAUUGGGUAAAGUGUUUUUCUUGAUUAGAAUCCGCACUAUCUCUUGGAUGUUUGACAAGGGAGUCUUAUAUGUCAAGAGGACAGUGGGAGUCUUAAAGGUCUUGAAAGUCUCAAGAACUAAUCAAGAGUAAAACCUGAAGUUCUUCACUAGCACACGACUUGAGGUUUAUAACCUAUCGUGUUGACAUAUUCUGUGCCCAUUCCAAUUAAAGUGGAUUUGCAUAUGAGUUCUUAGAGUUCUCAAUUGGUUGCUUAACAACUUGGAAGCAAUGGCAGACUCUUGAGCUGCCAGGUGGCAAGAAAUUAAGAUUGAGUUCAGUCCAUAUGAGUUUGGAUUUGUCAUUAUCCUUGUCUUGUGACUAUGGUUUUUGACAAUUCACAUGGAUAAGAACACAUACACCAUUAAAUCUAAGUGUCAUAAGGUUUCUCUCCGAUUCAUGAAAAUGAUGGUGAGGAAACACUUUCACUAAGUAGAUUUUAGCUAGAUAGCAAUUGUGAUAUUUUCAUUCUCAAAGUCGUUAGUGG